ACUGGCCAGGCGUGCUUGGG
Molecule: unclassified non-coding RNA, 20 nt
Filed under: Chlamydomonas reinhardtii
Lineage: Eukaryota; Viridiplantae; Chlorophyta; Chlorophyceae; Chlamydomonadales; Chlamydomonadaceae
Description: small RNA Cre_0386
Source: RNAcentral